UACAGGCUUAACACACGCAAGUCGAGGGGCAUCAGUUUGGUUUGCCUGCAAACCAAAGCUGGCGACCGGCGCACGGGUGAGUAACACGUAUCCAACCUACCUCAUACUCGGGGAUAGCCUUUCGAAAGAAAGAUUAAUAUCCGAUAGCAUAUAUUUCCCGCAUGGGUUUUAUAUUAAAGAAAUUCGGUAUGAGAUGGGGAUGCGUUCCAUUAGUUUGUUGGGGGGGUAACGGCCCACCAAGACUACGAUGGAUAGGGGUUCUGAGAGGAAGGUCCCCCACAUUGGAACUGAGACACGGUCCAAACUCCUACGGGAGGCAGCAGUGAGGAAUAUUGGUCAAUGGACGCGAGUCUGAACCAGCCAAGUAGCGUGAAGGAUGACUGCCCUAUGGGUUGUAAACUUCUUUUAUAUGGGAAUAAAGUGGUCCACGUGUGGACUUUUGUAUGUACCAUAUGAAUAAGGAUCGGCUAACUCCGUGCCAGCAGCCGCGGUAAUACGGAGGAUCCGAGCGUUAUCCGGAUUUAUUGGGUUUAAAGGGAGCGUAGGCGGAUUGUUAAGUCAGUUGUGAAAGUUUGCGGCUCAACCGUAAAAUUGCAGUUGAUACUGGCAGUCUUGAGUGCAGUAGAGGUGGGCGGAAUUCGUGGUGUAGCGGUGAAAUGCUUAGAUAUCACGAAGAACUCCGAUUGCGAAGGCAGCUCACUGGAGUGUAACUGAC
Molecule: ribosomal RNA, 715 nt
Filed under: uncultured Bacteroidales bacterium
Lineage: Bacteria; Pseudomonadati; Bacteroidota; Bacteroidia; Bacteroidales
Description: bacterial SSU rRNA
Rfam family: Bacterial small subunit ribosomal RNA
Source: RNAcentral